UGGGACCUUGGGCCGGGGGUGAGGCAAGAGGAGAAGGGGUGGGGUUGCGGUAGGGGCGGGGGUGGGGGCGUUUCCUACCUCCGGGAAGCCCCUGGCUUCCCCACCCCGCCCUGUCCCUUCCGCGAUCGCCCGACGGCCGCGAGGCUGUCGGCCCGCCUGCAGCCAGCACCCCAGGGGCCGCCGCCCACCCCUAGGCCUCGGGAGCUUCCGCGCGAGCUCACGCCCGAGCGGCGGCCGGCGGGAACCGUGCCGGGGGAGGGUCCCAGCCGCGGGCCGCCGCCCUCCGGGACCCGAGGCCGCCCCGCGUCCCGCCGCGUCACUCACAUUUUGGCGGCGGCGGGCGACGGUCGGCAGAGCGGCGCAGCGGGACUGGAGGCCGGGGAGCCGGGCGGGGCGGAGGCGCGGGGCCGAUGACGUCACCGGCCGCGGCCGCGAAGGGGCGCGCCGGAAGGGGGCGGGGCGUCACGGGGGCGGGGCCACCCGAAAGGGCUGGGCGGCCGGCGCGCGGUGACCGCGCGGCAUGUUGCGCUGGGCUCUGUCGCGCUGCAAGCUCUCUGCCCGCCGCCAACCUUGUGACGCCGCAGGUCGCUGAAAGGGACUGUGUAGGUGAAUGAGAGCCGUGGCGUGUCGAUGCCACAACACUGUCUCUGGAUCUAAGGACACACGUGAAACGUAUGGUUUGAAACAUCCUGGGUCACCCUGGAUCUCAACAGCAGAAAGUUGCUCAAGGAGGAUUUAGGGAAAGAGGAAGAGAGGCCUUCUGUUUCAACAGCUGUACAGGCUACUUAGCAUCUGUUACCUUGUUUAGGCCUCCAGACACUUCACCAUCAUCUCCAGUUUGUAAAUGCAGAACCUGAGAUUUACAUCAGUGAAGCGACCUGCCCCAAACAAUACAGUGUUCUGCAGAACAAAAUUUCCUCCGUAUAAAAUGUACCUACCAACUUUAUAAAACAGAUCUGAGAAGUGAAAGAAGUGGGAAUAAGAAUCAAGGAAGUGGAAGAUUUUUAGCCUCCUCCAAUUUCCAACUGGCAGACUGUGUGGAUGUUAAUUAACCUCUCAAAGUUGAGAUGAAAUUGGGAGACUUUCACAAUCUGCCCUACUGAAGCCGUAAAUCGAGUUCUAAGUCACUUGAGGGCACGUUAUUAGGAUGGGCUAGGGGUACCUAAUUUUCUUUUUGUUUUACGUCAAACGUCAACUGGACAAAAAGUAACGUUUGAAUGUUAUACUGCCUCUAGAGAAACGCAAAACAAUUCACUGUAUCACCAAAGUAGUUUUCGAGCAUUUGACACUACAAUUUUUGUUAGCCAAUUCUAAAAAACCAGACGUUUCAGAUCAGAGUUUCAACAGUUACAGAAAUUUGUUGUUGCCUUGUCUUAGGACAUGAACAGCCACCAACGGGCACAUGUCAACACACAUCUAGCACGAGAGGGGUCACAAUGAAAGUUUAGUCGUUAUUACCUCUGGGUUUUUCUCCUUGCUUAUUUGUAUUUCCAAAAUGUGCUACAAGGAGUGUACUUCUUUCAUAAUAAUUAUUUCUGCUCAUCAUUCUCCAGGUUGAAAAAAAAGUUUAUGUUUUCCUAUCCAUCCGUUAUGACUACAUCCCACCAUCCAUUAUGGCUAGCAAUAUUGUAUUCGCGUGACACAAAAAACCAAGUGAAAAAUUCAGUGGAGAAAGAAAGAAACUGGUUCUAUAGUCCAAAACCAACAUCAACUGUUUGAACUGGUGUCACUGGCAUUACCUGUGUUUUAAGCCUAUUUUUUCGGCACACGAACUUGGUAAACGUGGGCCGGGUUUGUUUGAAGUUGGAAUUACGUCGGAAAAUCCAGUGGUGGUAUUUGCGGAACUUAGAAUACAGACAGGCGUUCCAUCAACUCUCGUUGCGUUGUACGUGCUGUCCCAACUCAGCUACUGGUUACUGAGGCUUUGGUUCUCUAAAGGGAUUACACCUGCUGGAUUCAUUCAGGGCCAAGAAACAGCCUAACCUGAGGAUGUCCUGGUCCCCUAAAAACAAACCCCGCAUACAGUGUGUAUGCUUGCUUCUGAAUUCCACUGCACAGAAGACCGGCAAAGCAGUCUUCCUUGGGGCUCUGAAGACCACUGACCCGGGGCAGAAACCACAGCUUCUGUGGCUACGAGGCUGUCGCGGCCGCAAGGAGAGCCGCCGGGAGCACGUUUCUGAGCUGCGCGCGUCAGUCCAGUCGGUACCUCGGGAAAGGGCCCUCCAGGGACUGGCUGGGAGGGGAGGCAAUCAGGGCAGCGCGACUUUCCCCUGCAGCCAUUCCGCUAUGAAAAUGGAAGACAACCCCGGGAUUUGCCCAAGCGUUCUAGGCUGAAGAUAAUCCCCACUUUGGGGUAUUGCUGCGGUCUCCACGACAACAACAACAACAACAAAAAAAAAAAAAAAAAAAAAAAAAAGAAAGAAAAAGAAAGAAAGAAAGAAAGAAAAAAAAGAAACGAGGAAACAUAAAAACAAUGUUGCAUUCUAAUGUACUGAAGUGAUGUAGGAAAGCAACAGCACUGAAAGCCAGCAGAAGCCCACACAGGGUUUAUUUCCAUCAGACGUCCAAUGAGGAUUCACGAAUAAAUGAGGUAGGCCUGCUUCCGAAACUUGUAGCAAACAAUGGCUCCAUGGGUAAAGCAUAAGGCAAAGCCGCUUCAUUACAUCUACUUGGUAACGCUCAGCCAGAGAAAUGUUUCAUGAGUCAGUGGAUUUCAGCAGAUAUAUUCUUGCAAUGCUGGACGUCAAAAAUAUACAGGGCAGCCAGAUGCGGCUUUCUGAUUAGUUACCUGUUGCUCUGAGAGCUGCAAUAGCUUGUGGGGAAUUUAGGAAAAGAGAGAUCUUGCCAUUUUCCAGAAAUCUCAUUUGGAUUGCAAAACAAAAAAGACAGAGAGGCCCAAUAAGAAUGACACAGAGCAUGUUGUCUGCAAUUUAACACACACCACUGUGUGCCAAAAAUAUUCAUUUCCUAAAAGAGGCAAGUAAGACAAAAUUACUUUGGAUAUUUGAAUUACAGCCAUGAUGACACAUCCCACGCAUUCAUUUCCUACUCCUCACCAAGUGUAUCAGGCCACCUGGGAAUUACACCUCGUGUCAAAUUUAACUAAAGUGUGAUGGCACCGUUGUUGACCCAGAGCACCGUCCACUCUUCUCAAUCCAGCAACAUACUUUCGGGCAUCGUUAGAGAACUGUCCCUCGGAUUAAAGUAUACACAACGGAACACGAAGUGUGAACGGAACCCGCAGAACUUGACAACGACCCCCUGAAGGUGUCUCACAGGACUGCUGUCCAGAGUCAGUGCUGAAAUCGCUACUUACCAAGAAAACUGGCAGCAUCUGGUAAAGUUCAGUGUUUAGAAACCCAGUUGUCAGAGAGAAAAUCUGUUGCUUAAACAUUUGUCACCAGAAAGAGUUACCUCUUCUUCCCCCCCCCCCCCCAAUUAGGGUCCUUUUAUGCCAGGAGGAUAGCUUCACCCACCUUUACUGAACACGGGGACUAGGCCAACAACUUCCAAAAAUAGGUUAUUUGAAAACCAGAAUUCCCACUGUUUCUGAUAAUACCUGUAGUGACUGUUACAGGUCAUAAUGCCCCGUCACAGAAAUAACAUCUCAGGGGAAAAAAGGAUUUGUCCAGGAAUCACUCUUCAGAGAAUAGUCUCUCCAAUCUAUGAGAACGCUUCCUGAUACCCACAAAACCCCAAAUAUCUUGAAGAGGGAAGUGGAAAAACCAUUUUCUAACUGGAGAAAGAGGCAUUGUCCUCUUUAGUCUCAACACCCGGAGGAUGAAUCUGUCACGUAAUUCAGUUGUUAUUUCUUUACGUAUGAGGUAUCUUGGGUUUCUGCUAGGACACUACGUUACAUCCUGGUCAAUUUAAUCGGAACCCAGCCGGAGAGUCAUGUUUUCAGUACGUGCCCUUCGAAAACCUCUUCAACCUCAGCAAUCCUCACUGUUUGGAAAGUAGUAUAACACCUAAGUUAACUCAGAGAAAUAAUUAAGAUUGCCGAUUUAAAUACCUCUCUGUGCACAACAAAAGUUUUCUCCUAAAAGGGCAGUAGUUGUGCCCAAGACAAAUCAAAUCCCUAGGAGAAGCUGGAGGAUUUGGAAACUCCACUUUAAGAGCCUGGAUGAAUUAGGGGCUAAGCCUGGAGGGAAGGCUGCAUGAAGACACGAGGACUCUCGGCCGAGAGCACCGGGGGGCUUUUUCUUAGCCAACCCCAAGUGAAGACUGGUGUACUGUGCCUUAAUUCCGAUGACUGACCUCGUCUGCCUUUCUGCAUACCCUUCCGCUUCACCCAUCGAGGACGUGCGGCUGAAUGGUGUUUGACAAACUGCGCCACAAAAUUGAGUUCCUGAAGUUAUCAAAUAUCAUCUUUUGAUGCAGAAAGCUUAAAUGUCUUAAGUAUGGUAUGUACAUUAAUAAAAAAAAAAAAAGUAUGCUAAGUCGUUUGACACAAAUUCCACCAGUAGGAACUCUCCUCAGAGAAUGCCCUCCCUCCCCACGAGUCAUUUCAACUUGGGGACUGUUGGAGGAAGUGCCACUGUGACUGACGUCUCUGCUCUGGUCUCUUGACCGAACCAAGAGGGGCGAGAUCUUACCGGUAACUAGACAAAGCCACAGAUAAGCUAGCCCUCCAUCCACACAGGGAGAGAGACAGGACCAUACUAGAAGGAAUCUGAGCUUCUCAGCUGCUCUCUCUCCAAGUCCCUGAAGCCCGGGAGGCCCAGGGGUGUCAGGAAAUUCCAACUUUCCGUGCCCGAGGAGGAGUUUUAGGAGCCUGUGAUGAUGGAUGCAGCAGGUGCUAAAGAAGUUAUGGUAGGGACUCUCACAUUGAAAAGCACCUUUGGAAAAUGUUCUCUUAAAAACGAUCACUGACCUACCAGAAGCUAACAAGCUUCCGAAGUGCGUAGGCAACCACUUUUACUAAAUGUUGGCUCCUUGCAGGGAUUGUGUUAAUUGCACGUCACAUGCAAGAUACCACAACUGUUUUGUUAAACGGAGUCUUGGGGCCUGCAUUUGCUCUUUUGCAGGGUUUUUUUUUUUUUUUUUUUUUUAAGUGGAAACAAAUAUCGUUUAUGUAUGCAGAGAGUGAAAGGGAAUGGAAAGAGAAAGAAGUGGAGACUUUUGUCCCCUUUUUAAAAUUUCAAACACAGACAUCUCUGAGCCAGUUCCACCACAUGGGACAACUGUGAACAACUGCUUAAUUCUCAAGAGGACUAGCUAGUAAAUGUACAGACCAGCGGAACUGCUUUAUUCUGUUUUACAUACAUUUUCUUUCAGUGACCACCCAUGGUUUUAACCACGUGGGACUUUAAAUCUUAUAUAGGGGCUGGGUCUUAUUUUAGGAAGAACUUAUAAAAACUCAAUUCUCCUAUCAUCGUAAGUCAGCAAACUGCAGUCCAGGGGCCACAUCUAGCCCAAUGAAUAUCUGUGUAAAUAAAGUUUUAUUGGAACACAGCCAUAACCAUUCAUUUACAUAUCACCUACUGUUGUUCGCAUGCUGCAAUGGCAGAGCUGAAUGGGUGUGACAGACACUGUGUGGCCCACAAAGCCUAAGAUAUUUACUAUCUUUGGAAAGCCUUUUAAGAAGAAGUUAGACGAUCUUUGACUUAAAAUACAAUGAAUAAAUACCGGCAUCGACAUAAAGGCACUUAGAUGAAAAAUACUAGCUUCAGAAACAUUAGAAGUUUCAGAAUUUUUGAAUUACAAUCUCUUCUCAGAAAUCUUACAAAUGACUCAAGUCGGGGUUAAGAAGGGAGGGUGUCGAAUGGAGUGGAGUAGACGGGUGGGGGCUCCCCUGUUACUUGCUUAAGGGCAUCUUCUCUUAAGUCCAUCGGACAAAAGGUGUCAAAUUAAUCUACAUUCGGAUCUGCUUUGGGUGAAUUCUAUCCCUGUCUUUUAAAUCAAUUUCCUGACACUAAAUCCUUUCCUCUACCUUCACGCGUGUGGCAGUCGCCUCUGGCAGAGACUUCUGCCCCUUGUGUAUACCUACAAACCAGCAUCAUAGUCUAAAACCUCAAGGACACCAAGAGUGUGCAUCGGCUACCCUACCUCUUCAUCAUCAUUUCUUUAAAAUACAAAUUCUAUUGGAAUGUCCACUCUUAACUGCUAUAUAGAAUAUGCAGAUUUAAGACACCUUCCACCCCACCGUCUUUAUUCAGCAUUGCCGUUAAAUUCUGGAAGUCGGGUUUGUUCGCUCUUUAAUAAUGAAUGCGCUGCAUUGGUUCUGAAAGGGCAGCUUCAUGUGCUGACUUACCUCAUGGCACCAGGGAAAGGGAGAUUUACAAAACGAAACUACAGGAA
This is a long non-coding RNA of Felis catus (domestic cat), 6300 nucleotides long. RefSeq lists it as uncharacterized. The transcript is spliced from 4 exons. The record is from RefSeq and is a predicted model, not a curated record. Lineage: Eukaryota; Metazoa; Chordata; Mammalia; Carnivora; Felidae.